AUUCCAUGAUGCGGGCAGUUCUUGAUCAUCAUAUUAAAGCGCUCGAAGGCUUCAUGAAACAUUUCGCCUUGUUUUUGUUGAAAAAUCCUCAAUCCCUUUCUUACAUC
Non-coding RNA from Helianthus annuus (common sunflower), 107 nucleotides. The record is from Rfam. Lineage: Eukaryota; Viridiplantae; Streptophyta; Magnoliopsida; Asterales; Asteraceae.